UUCGGUUUAGGGUUUGGAUUAGGGUUUGGAUUAGGAUUUAGGAUUUGGAUUAGGAUUUGAAUUAAAAUUUAGGAUUUGGUUAGGGUUUGAUUUAGGAUUUGGAUUAGGGUUUGAUUUAAGGUUUGGAUUAGAGUUUGGACUAGGGUUUGGUUAGGGUUUGAUUUAAGGUUUGGUUUAGGGUUUAGGAUUUGGAUUAGAGUUUAGGAUUGGAUUAGGGUUUGGAUUAGGAUUUGGAUUAGGGUUUAGGAUUUGGUUAGGGUUUGAUUUAGGAUUUGGUUUAGGAUUUAGGAUUUGAAAUAGGGUUUAAUUUAAGAUUUAUUUAGGAUUUGACUUAGGGUUUAGGAAUUAUUAGGGUUUAAGAUUUAAUUAGGUUUGGUCUAAAGUUGAGUGAAAUUCAAUAGGGUUUUAACUAGAAUUAAAUU
This 422-nucleotide long non-coding RNA is filed under the name Physcomitrium patens. RNAcentral describes it as "long non-coding RNA (PPAT_LNC002712)". Lineage: Eukaryota; Viridiplantae; Streptophyta; Bryopsida; Funariales; Funariaceae. The record is from RNAcentral.